AGCUAGUCCAAGUGCAGUGGUGUUUACAACUAAUUGAUCACAACCAGUUACAGAUUCCUUUGUUCCUCCUCCACUUACACUGCUUCACUUGACUAAUAA
Molecule: Y RNA, 99 nt
Filed under: Prolemur simus (greater bamboo lemur)
Lineage: Eukaryota; Metazoa; Chordata; Mammalia; Primates; Lemuridae
Description: Y RNA (ENSPSMG00000013510.1)
Rfam family: Y RNA
About the family: Y RNAs are components of the Ro ribonucleoprotein particle (Ro RNP), in association with Ro60 and La proteins. The Y RNAs and Ro60 and La proteins are well conserved, but the function of the Ro RNP is not known.
Source: RNAcentral